Molecule: non-coding RNA, 114 nt
Organism: Acanthosepion pharaonis
Lineage: Eukaryota; Metazoa; Mollusca; Cephalopoda; Sepiida; Sepiidae
Source: the annotation of a GenBank genome assembly
UUACGGUCAUAUCAUGUAGAAAACACCAGUCCUAGUACGAUUAUCGAAGUUAAGCAACGUCGAGCAUUGUCAGUACUGGAUGAGUGACCGCUUUGGAAUACCAGGUGUUGUAAG